CAAGAGAUAACAUCCCAAAAUGGGGCGUAGUG
RNAcentral lists this non-coding RNA (32 nucleotides) under Mus musculus (house mouse). Lineage: Eukaryota; Metazoa; Chordata; Mammalia; Rodentia; Muridae. The record is from RNAcentral.